RNAcentral lists this unclassified non-coding RNA (222 nucleotides) under Hevea brasiliensis (rubber tree). The record is from RNAcentral. Lineage: Eukaryota; Viridiplantae; Streptophyta; Magnoliopsida; Malpighiales; Euphorbiaceae.
GGAAAUUUUAUUUUUCAAAGCUAAUAUGAAAGAUAUAAGAUAAUCGCCUAAAACAGUUAUGGGUCAAACAGCCAAGACUGCAAAAACCAAGAAAAUAUUGGCACAAUUAAGAAAUAUCCAAACAGGGAAAAGCAGAGAUCCCCACGCACUCCUUCUUGACAAGGAAAGUAGAGUUCUUUAUUCACUCCCAAACUUCUUAUUCAAUUCAAUUCAUCUUUCUCA